Molecule: small RNA, 206 nt
Filed under: Nocardia farcinica IFM 10152
Lineage: Bacteria; Bacillati; Actinomycetota; Actinomycetes; Mycobacteriales; Nocardiaceae
Description: Actinobacteria sRNA Ms_IGR-5
Rfam family: Actinobacteria sRNA Ms_IGR-5
Source: Rfam by way of RNAcentral
ACACGAGGAAGGAGGUGGUUCGAAGAAUGGAUAGUUCUAGGACACGUGAGGUGGCUGUCCGCUAGCGCCACCGCUGCAGGUGGUAUCCGCCCGCGCGAGCGCUGAGCGAAUACCAGGCAGUCACCCGGCCCCCGAGCCCCCGGUCCUGUCCGACCGGGACCCGUGCAGGCACCCGCCGCACCGGUACGGCUCGGGGGCCGUUCCCU